This 342-nucleotide ribosomal RNA is filed under the name Triticum aestivum (bread wheat). Its description in RNAcentral is "partial small subunit ribosomal RNA". The record is from RNAcentral. Lineage: Eukaryota; Viridiplantae; Streptophyta; Magnoliopsida; Poales; Poaceae.
AUGUGUAAAAUUUCCAUCCUAUGGUCAUAUGAGAAAAUAUCAUGUGACGCAAUUCCAGGACAGCAAAGAGAAGCAAAGUGGUCACCUUUGAUGAUCCCCAGGAGAAGAAGGCCACAGAAGAAGGGCAAGAAUUUGAAGCAGCUCCAGACAGAGGCCCGGAACCCAGUCGAUGGCUCCAUGACAAGCUCGGUCAACUCAAGACUCUGCUCAAUCCCUUUGUAUUCCCUUCAAGAGCAAGCAACGUUAUCCAACCCCACGAACUUGGCAAGACGGCAAGUCGGCAACAGAAGAAUGAGAACAAAACUGAGCUUGCUUCCAGGAAGAAUUUCCAAGAACCGUUAG